AUUAAACGCUGGCGGCAUGCCUUACACAUGCAAGUCGAACGGUAGCGCGGGGCAACCUGGCGACGAGUGGCGAACGGGUGAGUAAAGCAUCGGAACGUGCCCUGGAAUGGGGGAUAACGUAGCGAAAGUUACGCUAAUACCGCAUAUUCUGUGAGCAGGAAAGCAGGGGAUCGCAAGACCUUGCGUUCUGGGAGCGGCCGAUGUCGGAUUAGCUAGUUGGUGGGGUAAAAAGCCUACCAAGGCGACGAUCCGUAGCGGGUCUGAGAGGAUGAUCCGCCACACUGGGACUGAGACACGGCCCAGACUCCUACGGGAGGCAGCAGUGGGGAAUUUUGGACAAUGGGCGGAAGCCUGAUCCAGCCAUGCCGCGUGAGUGAAG
This 379-nucleotide ribosomal RNA is filed under the name uncultured bacterium. RNAcentral describes it as "bacterial SSU rRNA". It matches the Rfam family "Bacterial small subunit ribosomal RNA", at positions 29 to 410 of the family's 1533-position model. The record is from RNAcentral.